CCGUUUGGCUUUCUUUGGUUUUAAACCAACUCCUCUUUAGCAUUCAUUUUUACGCUACUUUUCUUUUCAGGUCGCAUUGUACUAUAGAGCCAGAUUGUCAACUGCGAUAAACUAGCAUAACUACACUGAAGGCAAGGAAACUUCCGGUUUACACUAGCUGAGGAUCUCGCUGAUAGUUUUACCCUCUUCAGUCACGAAAAGGUGGAUGUCAGAUUUCAACAGCAUAGAGCAAAGGAGUGGGGAAAAGAGAGGUGUGUUUUUAAGCAGGCCAAUAGAAUGAAAUACCCCUAUAGCUCACACAAGGAGGAUGUAAAAGCAGCAAAGAGUCCUGUGGCACUUUAUAGACUAACAGACGUAUUGGAGCAUGAGCUUUCGUGGAUGAAUACCCACUUCGUCAGAUGCAUGUACAGGGAGGAUGCAGCUUUUCAAAUGACAAAGAGUCUGCAUUCAUCAAAGUGCUGGCAUCCGUACCAAAGCCAUCUAGUCAUCGCAGCCUCGUGUAUUUAG
This 507-nucleotide long non-coding RNA is filed under the name Gopherus agassizii (Agassiz's desert tortoise). Its description in RNAcentral is "lncRNA (ENSGAGG00000002979.1)". Lineage: Eukaryota; Metazoa; Chordata; Testudines; Testudinidae. The record is from RNAcentral.